UUACAAUAUAUUUCUCUAAAUUGAUUGAUUUCUUUCCUAAAGACACAACAGAAUUAAUCAACUAUAAUUGAUUUAUUUUUUUUACUUGGAUGAAAGUGAUUCAUAUGCCAAACAGAGCCUAAGUAAUUAAAAUAACAAAUUAGUUUAAAAAGGUAACUACCUGGAAUACGCAUUAGAAUGAAUCAGUAUUAGAGAGAUUAGAAACACCAGUAUUGAUUUGUGAGAAAACCAAGAUCUUUGAUCUGUAUCAUUUAAAAAGGAAAGACCAUCAACAGAACCAUUAUCAUUCUUCUUGUCUUUCUUCUUUUUUGACACAAAAUCAUGAAACUUGAGUAGCUAUACUGCAAUAGGGAGAAAAAGGAAGAAGAAAGACGAUUCAUUUAGUGAUGAAGCAGAAGAAGUUUGAAGAAAGUGGUAUUGCUAGCUUCAAUGACAUUGCUGAGGAAAAUAAAUAGAGAUCUAUACACAAAAUUAUGAAAGACAAGAAGAUUCAUACCAAUUGAACAGCAAGGAUGUUUCUGGUCAUCUUCAUUUUCAAUGUUGGAGCUUAUGACUUCACCUCCAAUUGAUGUAGGUUGUAACUCAUCAUUAUAAUUUCCCUGGCCAUCUUCACUUUCAUUGUUAGACCAAUCAGACCCCACACCAAUUUCCCAACCAUCCAGAUUCGACUUAUGUUCUAAGUUAUAUACAGGUAAGACCCCACACCCCUUUAUCCCCUCUGUUGACCACCACAAUUCUUCAUUGAAAUCUUGAUGCAUGAAUUGAAAUGAUAGGUUGCAAUCAUUACUUCCAUGUUUCCGUCUGUUGUAAGGAUGCCAACAUAUCAAUACGUGAUCUGAAAUUAAUGUCCCAUUAUAUUCGUAAACAACAAGAAUACACUUGUCGACUUCUUUGCCGUGUUCAAAGAUGACACAAUGCAGGGGGUGAUUGAGAUCAUGGAAGCCCUUAGAAAGAAUGGUGCAGAAUACGAAACCAGACAGGUUAUAUUUUGGAAUCGGAGGAAUGGUUAUUGAAGCCUUCAUUGUUUGAAAAUCAAACUUGCGAGGAACUUGUGCUCCUGGCAAGAAAUAGACAUCAUAAUAGGAACGGUUAUUGACAUCUUUAUUUGCAUGAAAAGGGUCUUUAGAGAAGAUUUGUACUAUGUUCUCAAGAAAUGACCGUUGAGUGGAGUCUGUGUCCAGAUAAGUGCAAUUAAUGGCACUCAAACAUAAUAGGGAUGGCGGAAGCUCUGUUAGAGACACAAGUUUCCUGCAAUCAUCUAAAACUAGCCAUUUUAGCAUUGAAUGGUUUCGUAUGUUCUCAGGGACACAUUCCAAGUUGCAACAAUCUUGCAAUGAGAGCCGUUUCAAAGAUUGUAUGCCAUCAAGGAUGGACCACAGACUUAAUGCAUUGAUUUCUGUGCACCGUGAAAGGUUUAGUUCUAUAACAGACCCAAGUCCAUGAUCAUCUGAUAACUUAUUCCCAACAAUGUUAAGCUUGUUACACUCGGUUAGGGAAAGAGAAGUAAGUUUUCUGUUACGCCAAAUCGAUGAAGACAAUUCACGUAUAGCAGUGCCAUCUAAGGUCAACUCUGUCAUUUCAUCCGAUGUCACUGAGAAUUCUGUGAGAGAAGAACAACCAUCGAGUAAGAGUUCACAAAGAGAUUUUGAAUGAAUGUUGGUUUUAAGGCUUUCAAUCUUUUUGCAACCUCGUAAAUCUAGAUAUCUAAGAUCAGGGAGAGAAAAGAUCGAAGAAUGGAGCUGACCCAGGCUUUCACAUUGAAAAAGAUAUACUCUAUGAAGAUUUGUAGCCUUAGAUAAGUCUGGGAUCUCAAUCAGAUUUUUGGAGGAUUCAAGCCAAAGUAUGUUUAGAUUCACAAGAUUCUGUAACAAGAAAUAAAAACACCAUUGAGAAACCGUUAAAUUCAUAAUCACGUGUGAGUGUUGAUUAAAAGAGAAACUAAACCUAAUUAAGCAUAAAUAGAGACUUUUUAAGAAUGAGCAUUAGACUUCCUCUCAUACUUCGACAAAUUAACAAGUAUAUCCAAACAGAAUUGUACCUGAACUCCAUCCCAUAGCUUUUUAAGCUUGCUAUGACUCAAGUGAAGCUCUAUGAGCAUUUCAGCACAAAAGGUUGAUGGCAAAUACUCAAGACAGUAUCCUUCCCAUCGAAGAUACCUCAAUUUAUCAGAAAUCCACUCAAGACCAUCGAGAAAGUACACAUUGGAUGUGCUUCUUCUAGAUUUAUUAUAGAUUUUAAGAUAUCUUAAAUUUGUCAUCCAUCUAAAGGAAUUAGACUUCAAGUAAAGAUCCCCCACAUCUGUACUAUCGAAUGUUAUCCCUUCGACAGCUUUAGUUCCCUG
Molecule: long non-coding RNA, 2341 nt
Filed under: Medicago truncatula (barrel medic)
Lineage: Eukaryota; Viridiplantae; Streptophyta; Magnoliopsida; Fabales; Fabaceae
Description: lncRNA gene15581
Source: RNAcentral